RNAcentral lists this ribosomal RNA (256 nucleotides) under uncultured bacterium. RNAcentral's name for it is "partial 16S ribosomal RNA". It matches the Rfam family "Bacterial small subunit ribosomal RNA", at positions 524 to 776 of the family's 1533-position model. The record is from RNAcentral.
UACGUAGGGUGCGAGCGUUGUCCGGAAUUAUUGGGCGUAAAGAGCUCGUAGGCGGCUUGUCGCGUCGGCUGUGAAAAACCCGCGGCUCAACUGUGGGCGGGCAGCUGAUACGGGCAGGCUGGAGUUCGGUAGGGGAGACUGGAAUUCCUGGUGUAGCGGUGAAAUGCGCAGAUAUCAGGAGGAACACCGGUGGCGAAGGCGGGGUCUCUGGGCAGUAACUGACGUGAGGAGCGAAAAGCGUGGGGGAGCGAACAGG